GAAUGAGUUUAUUGAAGGGAAAGGGAAAGGGGAUACUCUCAAGGGAAAGAGUGGGUCCUCUCAGGAGAGGGACAGUGUUCCUCUCCUGCACUCCAGUUUUUCCCAGAGAAGUUUCCAGAGAGUCCCAUUCAGUCCACUUCUUCAAUUUUGACUGACAAGUCCCCACUGUUGUGGCAACUCUAAGUCAUGUUUAGCCCCCCCAAAAAUGGAGAUUAGUUCAGGACCUUUGUAUAAUCAGUGAAGCUGCAGUCCCUUUGCACCAGUUGUUCCAAACCCAUUUACUCCCCAAGAGAAUUACUUAUAAUACUGUCCUAGAUUUGAAGGAUACAUGCAUUUUUCUGCAUUCCUUUUUGUCCAAAAAGCCAACCUCUAUUUGCCUUGGAGGCUCCUACUUGUAAGGCCCAACAAGUUACCUUGACAGUCCUUCCCCAGAGCUUUAGAGACAGUCCCCAUCUGUUUGGACAAGCACUGGCACAAGACCUCAUGGACUGGUCAUACCCUAAAACAGUGUUACUUAGGUAGGAACAUGACUUUCUUUAAUGUGGAGCUUAAGAAAAAAUAAUUUCUGAGAGCACCGACUCUCAAUUUCCUGGACAUAUAAGAGAUAUAAAAUCUCUUGAGAGAAGGCUCAGUUGUGCCUUCUCCAGGUUAUUUACUUUGGCAUGACACUGGGAGGUGAAAAGCGUGGCACAGAAAGAAUUCAACCCAAACUCUCAUAUCCCCUUUCUCAGACAGUAAAACAACUCAGGGCCUUUCUAUGAACAAGGAAGUUUUCAUGGAAACUUAUGCUGCCAGACCAGAUUUAUCUGAUCAUCCUAUAAAUUAUCCCAAUCUCGUGCUAUACACUGUUGUAGUUCCUUGGUGAUUAAUGGGAUUUGGAGAUCUGGAUAUGCAGUAGUGACAGAUUUUGAGGUUCUUGAAUCAGGGCCACUUUCUGUAGUAUUAGCACUUAGCUAACAGAAUUAGUUGCCCAAGAGCCUUCUAAAGAUAAGAGCAUCAUCAUUACACACACACACACACACACACAUACAUUCUAAAUAUGCCUUUCUUAUAUUUUAUGCUCACACAGCUAUCUGGAAAGAGCAAGGAUUGCUUACUACUACAGGCAUUCCUAUUAAGCGUGCCAAGAAGAUUCUUUGCCUCUCAGGUAGCAGUUAUCCAUGUUACUGGACAUCAGAAGGGACAGGACAUAAUAGCUUAAGGAAAUAAGGCUGCAGAUGUUACAGCCAAGAAAACUGCUUUACAGGGUUCCAUAGUUACCCCACUCCUAUAGGAAAAUUAUUUUCUAUCCUCUGAACACCCCUGGUACUCAAUGGAAGAAGCUCAACAGGCUGUUACUCAAAGAUACUAACUAGAUCAUAGAGGACGGUGGGUUUCUCCUGAGGGCAUCCUAUUCCCAAACAUACCAAUGAAAGAUUUUAAAAUCUCUCCACCAUCUCUAACAUUUGGGAAAAGAUAAUACUUUUACUCUAAUACAAAAAAAAAAAUGUUUUCA
RNAcentral lists this long non-coding RNA (1495 nucleotides) under Marmota monax (woodchuck). The record is from RNAcentral. Lineage: Eukaryota; Metazoa; Chordata; Mammalia; Rodentia; Sciuridae.